UCCUGAAGACCAACAGUUUACAGGAAAAAAAAAUAUAAUUAUAUAUCAUGGCAUGGACAUAAAAGGAAACAAUCUCUAACUUAUCCUCCUUUUGAUUAUUUGCAUGCAGUUUAUAAAACAAAGAAGAAUGGAGGUUGGAAACUGUUCAGCCACUGAGUUUCUUCUCUUGGGAAUUACCAAUAAUCCUGUGAUCAAGGUGAUUUUAUUUACUACUUUUCUAAUUGUUUAUCUCAUAAUUCUUAUUGAAAAUCUUGGGAUGAUCAUUUUGAUAAGAAUGAACUCCCAGCUUCACACACCGAUGUACUUUUUUCUCAGCCACCUCUCUUUCUCUGAUAUCUGUUAUUCUACUGCAGUUGGACCCAAGAUGUUGGUGGGCCUUAUAUUCAAGAACAAUUCAAUUCCAUUUAUUGACUGUGCUGUGCAGUUCUUUAUCUUCUGCAUUUUUACCGAUGCUGAGUGUGUGCUACUGGCAGUGAUGGCUUUUGACAGGUAUAAGGCCAUCAGCAACCCCUUGAUGUAUGCGGUAGAUAUGUCCAGAGUGGUAUGCUAUCAGCUCCUGGCUGUGGUUUAUCUGGUUGGAAUGGUAGAUGCUUUGACACAUACA
RNAcentral lists this long non-coding RNA (604 nucleotides) under Mus musculus (house mouse). RNAcentral's name for it is "Olol". The record is from RNAcentral. Lineage: Eukaryota; Metazoa; Chordata; Mammalia; Rodentia; Muridae.